This 404-nucleotide ribosomal RNA is filed under the name Bacteroidota bacterium. RNAcentral's name for it is "Bacteroidetes bacterium partial 16S ribosomal RNA". It matches the Rfam family "Bacterial small subunit ribosomal RNA", at positions 355 to 776 of the family's 1533-position model. Lineage: Bacteria; Pseudomonadati; Bacteroidota. RNAcentral also lists the same sequence under 1 other name. The record is from RNAcentral.
UGGGGAAUAUUGCACAAUGGAGGGAACUCUGAUGCAGCGACGCCGCGUGAACGAAGAAGGCUUUCGAGUCGUAAAGUUCUUUUAUAUGGGAAGAUAAUGACGGUACCAUAAGAAAAAGCCCCGGCUAACUACGUGCCAGCAGCCGCGGUAAUACGUAGGGGGCUAGCGUUGUCCGGAAUCACUGGGCGUAAAGGGUUCGCAGGCGGAAUAACAAGUCAGAUGUGAAAGGCAUGGGCUCAACCCAUGUAAGCAUUUGAAACUGUAAUUCUUGAGAAGUGGAGAGGUAAGUGGAAUUCCUAGUGUAGCGGUGAAAUGCGUAGAUAUUAGGAGGAAUACCUGUGGCGAAGGCGACUUACUGGACACAAAUCUGACGCUGAGGAACGAAAGCGUGGGUAGCAAACAGG